This 444-nucleotide ribosomal RNA is filed under the name uncultured bacterium. RNAcentral describes it as "partial 16S ribosomal RNA". It matches the Rfam family "Bacterial small subunit ribosomal RNA", at positions 338 to 795 of the family's 1533-position model. The record is from RNAcentral.
CCUACGGGGGGCAGCAGUGGGGAAUAUUGGGCAAUGGGCGCAAGCCUGACCCAGCAACGCCGCGUGAAGGAAGAAGGCUUUCGGGUUGUAAACUUCUUUUCUCAGGGACGAAGCAAGUGACGGUACCUGAGGAAUAAGCCACGGCUAACUACGUGCCAGCAGCCGCGGUAAUACGUAGGUGGCAAGCGUUAUCCGGAUUUACUGGGUGUAAAGGGCGUGUAGGCGGGGACGCAAGUCAGAUGUGAAAACCACGGGCUCAACCUGUGGCCUGCAUUUGAAACUGUGUUUCUUGAGUACUGGAGAGGCAGACGGAAUUCCUAGUGUAGCGGUGAAAUGCGUAGAUAUAUGGAAGAACAUCAGUGGCGAAGGCGGCCGCCUGGCCUGUUAACUGAUGCUGAGGCACGAAAGCGUGGGGAGCAAAUAGGAUUAGAUACCCGUGUAGUC